AAAACAACGCAGAGGGACUGCAUGUCCGGGAGAAUGCCCGGAGGGAUUGCGGUUGAGAAGGUUAAAGCCUGACUCUUUGAACCUGUCAGUUAAUACUGUCGUAGGGAGCGUAUUGGGAAGAUGC
RNAcentral lists this non-coding RNA (124 nucleotides) under Roseburia intestinalis. RNAcentral's name for it is "TPP sequence". It matches the Rfam family "TPP riboswitch aptamer (THI element)". From Rfam's summary of the family: Vitamin B(1) in its active form thiamin pyrophosphate (TPP) is an essential coenzyme that is synthesised by coupling of pyrimidine and thiazole moieties in bacteria. Lineage: Bacteria; Bacillati; Bacillota; Clostridia; Lachnospirales; Lachnospiraceae. The record is from RNAcentral.